Molecule: long non-coding RNA, 1565 nt
Filed under: Salmo salar (Atlantic salmon)
Lineage: Eukaryota; Metazoa; Chordata; Actinopteri; Salmoniformes; Salmonidae
Description: lncRNA (ENSSSAG00000101074.1)
Source: RNAcentral
GUGGGAUGUCCCCAGAGCUGUUUCCUGCGUGCGACCAAGCUCCCCUUUCUUGUUUUACUUUUAUAUUGAUGACUCUAUUGUCCGGUUGAAAUAUUAUCGAUUAUUUAGGUAAAAAACAACCUGAGGAUUGAUUAUAAACAUCGUUUGACGGAUACUAUUUGGAAUCUUCGUCUGCCUGUUGUGACUGCAUUUGAGCCAUUAGAUUACUGAACAAAACGCGCCAACAAAAUGGAGGUUUUUGGAUAUAAAGAGGAACUUUAUCGAACAAAACAAACAUUUAUUGUGUAACUGGGAGUCUUGUGAGUGCAACCAUACGAAGAUCAUCAAAGGCCCAUCCCUCCACCCCGUGUCAUCGAUGGCCAGCCAGCGUAUACGAUGAGACGCCUCCUGAGGGUUCGACCACGGGGCAGGGGUUUCCAGUACCUGGUUGACUGGGAGGGUUAUGGCCCGGAGGAGGGGAAGUGCUGGGUUCCUGCUGAAGACAUCCUGGACCCGGCCGAUUUUCGCCGGUGUCAGCCAGGCCUUUUGCUGUCAGGUUUUCUAUCAACCUGGCAGAGUUGGUCACGUAGCUGCUCCAUCUCUACAUCAGUGCUGGUGGAGGGCUAUUUGAUCAAGAAGGAGAGUGAUGGAGUGCUGCAUCAGAUGACCUGGCCUCCACAAUCACCCAACCUCAACCCAAUUGAGAUGGUUGGUUUAGGAUGAGUUGGACUGCAGAGUGAAGGAAUAGCAGCCAACAAGUGCUCAGCAUAUGUGGGAACUCCUUCAAGACUGUUGGAAAAGCAUUCCAGGACUGGGGAGCUGUAAAAAAGGACAUAAGAGGACCAUUGCAGUCAAUGUGCACAGUAUAAUAUUAUAUCCAAAUAUGACACAAGUGAGGGAGAUACGACACUAGGUUCAUUGUCUGUGUUUCAAACUGACCAUCUUGAUUUUAUGAAGGGGUUAGUUAUUAUACCAGAUUAUAAUGGGGUUAGUUAUUAUACCAGAUUAUUAAGGGGUUAGUGAUUAUACCAGAUUAUAAAGGGAUUAGUUAUUAUACCAGAUUAUGAAGGGAUUAGUUAUUAUACCAGAUUAUAAUGGGGUUAGUUAUUAUACCAGAUUAUAAAGAGAUUUGUUAUUAUACCAGAUUAUUAAGGGGUUAGUUAUUAUACCAGAUUAUAAUGGGGUUAGUUAUUAUACCAGAUUAUAAUGGGGCUAGUUAUUAUACCAGAUUAUAAUGGGGUUAGUUAUUAUACCAGAUUAUGAAGGGGUUAGUUAUUAUACCAGAUUAUAAUGGGGUUAGUUAUUAUACCAGAUUAUAAAGAGAUUUGUUAUUAUACCAGAUUAUAAAGAGAUUUGUUAUUAUACCAGAUUAUUAAGGGGUUAGUUAUUAUACCAGAUUAUGAAGGGAUUAGUUAUUAUACCAGAUUAUGAAGGGGUUAGUUAUUAUACCAGAUUAUGAAGGGGUUAGUUAUUAUACCAGAUUAUGAAGGGGUUAGUUAUUAUACCAGAUUCCCUGACCAUGUGACCUUCAUACUGCAACACAUGAAUUAACACAUCCACAAACAAAGCCCAACUUUUUCAAUUAU